GUCGCUGUGGCUUAGUUGGUUAACGCCCCUGUCUCAUACGCAGGAGAUCCUGCAUUCAAAUUCCAGCUGUGCCU
This 74-nucleotide transfer RNA is filed under the name Atractosteus spatula (alligator gar). It matches the Rfam family "tRNA". Rfam says of the family: Transfer RNA (tRNA) molecules are approximately 80 nucleotides in length. Their secondary structure includes four short double-helical elements and three loops (D, anti-codon, and T loops). RNAcentral also lists the same sequence under 1 other name. Lineage: Eukaryota; Metazoa; Chordata; Actinopteri; Semionotiformes; Lepisosteidae. The record is from Rfam by way of RNAcentral.